GAAGAUAAUCAGCAUUCCUACUAAAACUUUAUUAGGUAACUGAUCAUAUUAUUUAGUACUUUCUUCUUUGUAUAGUCCAAUACAUGCUAAACUCAUAGAUAAGCUUUAAUAUUUGGUUUUAGCAUCUCAUGUGCAAGCAGCUAACUCAAUGAAGGAGAAACAAAAGGUUGUACAGAGCAAUAUAGUGUCAUUUAGCACCAACAGAAGGUAAGAAUUGUAUUUAAAAAACGAAAAUAUGCAAUGGCCAGAAGAUCCUAGGCCGAACACAUCCUUACAUUUGUGUGUGUGUGUGUGUGUGUGUGUGAGUGAAAGAGAGAGAGAGUCAUAAUACGGAGAAACGUAAACAUGCAUUGAUGCACCGCCUCUUGAAACUAAAUAUGAAAAUUCCACUAAGGUGAUCUACUACCCACCGCUAUCUCGAUUGCUUCAUAUGAAAUCUAGAAGAGUAACCCUGUAUAGAUGGAAGGGAUGGUCUCAUAGGUUCAUUGUGCUCACUGAAAGUAUGCUACAUAAAAGCCAAGCCCUCGAGAGUGCUGACGUUAAGCACACUUGCAUCCAUUAAAAAGUGUUUUUAAGAAAAUUUCACUGGGGCUAGACCAGAAAGUACUUUUUACUUUUUAAUAUAAUUCAUACAAACACCCACUUAAGUUAGUUUCGUCAUUCGUGGGAGCAUAACCUGAAAAGAAAAGUAAAACAGUGCCGUAUUUUAAAGGUAAGAUCAUCAAGCUACAGCUCAUUUGAGGCUUUGAGCAACUGACAAAGUGACUGAAAUACAGUAUAUUAGAUGUAAAUUGAACAUUUAAAUUGAAUUGUUUCUAUUAAAACCUCUUGAGGACAAUAAGAAGCUAAAACUAAAACAUUAGGCACCGUAGGAUAGCAGGGUUUAAGGAGUUAGGCAGAAUUACCUUCUGCACCACAAAAGCAAAUUUAGCCUAUGCCCAGAUGUGGUAGCUCUAGCUCCAUGACGAUGUCGACCACGGUGAAUAACAGCCCGACCUGGGACAUGGGAGUAAUCCAAAACUUCCUACAAGCAUUUAAACUCAAAAUAAGUCUUCAACCAACAAUAGUUGCAGAAUAAAGUAUAUUAACUACUAAAAUACUUGUACAAUGAACUAACUGGUUUACAGAGAAAUAUGUCUCAGUCUGACAGUGGUUUGCAACAUCUCAGACAUUUAUACCACAUUUUAACCCAGUUAGAUUGAAGAAAAUGAAGACAAAUCAAGGAGAAAUCACAUAGCAGAGCAACAUAAUAGAAACAGCAUCCCACCCUAUGCUCAUUAUUAGCAAAGUCUUUUCCUCACUGACUUUAGCGGAGGGAGGGGGUAGGCCCACAUUCACAGGUCUUCUUAACAUUUGUUUUAUGAAAAGGAAAUUUCACCACUAAUUUCAAAGGCACUCAGGUAGCUAAUAUAUAUAAAUAUCAUUCUGCAACAAGGAUCAUAACUGAGAGUCUGAGAGGGUAGUAUAAUAUCAAAGAAACAUAAUUAUCUUCAUAUAAAGUAGAUCUGGAAAAUAGGCUCAUAUACCUCUGAUUGAGUUCCUGUGUUGACAUGCUUCUCACACCGCACCCCACGAAAAAACAGCUCACCACCAGUAAAUUGUUUCCCCACACACACAUUUAAGGUGACUUCUGAGUCAUCCACGUGAAAACCUGGCAACGCAAACUUCUUCAGAACUUCAAGAUUAUGAAAACAUGGAUAAUGUAUUUCCAAAGAGAUUUUGGGACAAUAGAGAUAAAAGAUUGGACUUCUAGACCGGCAUAGACCAUCUUCAAAACUUACCCGAGAAUUGUACAUAUAAAGGCCGUUCUAAGAGGACAGUGAAAAAAAAUAUCAUUGUAUGUUGUUCUCGUCACUGAAAUGUCAGGAGCGGACACUCACACAUAUAACUCAAUAACCUCUACUAAAAAUAGAAUUAGAAUCUGAGUUCAAUACGAAAAGCACUAAGAAAAACCACCCAUAUAUUUAUGAUGGCGACUGUCACGAUAGAUACAUCACAAAUCUGUUGAUGCACGACCAACCUAGAUAAUGAACUCAGAUAUGUGCCUUCCUAUUCUACUCUAUGUUAAGUGCUGUGACCUUCUAAUUAAAUAAACACACAGAUGAAUUAUUAAAUGGAGCACUAACCAAGGUCAACGUCCCUAUCAAUUCCAUACUCGACAACAAAGCCAUGAUGAGAAUCAAGUGUUGAUCCACCAACUUCCGGAAAGAAAACUGUAAAGAAGUCAUAUUGGAAUAAUAGAGUACAUUAAUAGACCUCAUACAUCAUCAUUAAGACAGUUCCCAUAAAUUUUAAUUACUCCAAAUGUCAUAAAAUUUAUUACCUCUAGAUAUAGGUUGUAUGAAAUCUUCCAUUAACCUGUCAAGCAUCGUUUCCAAGCCAAAGUCAUCAAGAACAGCACCAUAUUUGUUCAUGGUAUUUGGUCGCAUUAUUCUGAACUUGGUCUCACGGACCCAUUUUUCAAAAUUAUCAACCUAUGCAAUCAGAACCUGAUAAGAAAACAUAGAAGCUAAACUACAAGAGAGCUGUGAUUGCAACAUGAAGAGCGAAGGCUAGUCGCUACCUCUGCUAAAAGCAUUUCACAAAAGCGUGGCUGCAGCAGUUCAAAAGUUAAAAUUCCUGGUGAAGGUUCAGUGAUUAUUUUNUAAUACGGAGAAACGUAAACAUGCAUUGAUGCACCGCCUCUUGAAACUAAAUAUGAAAAUUCCACUAAGGUGAUCUACUACCCACCGCUAUCUCG
RNAcentral lists this long non-coding RNA (2740 nucleotides) under Daucus carota (carrot). Its description in RNAcentral is "long non-coding RNA (DCAR_LNC002256)". The record is from RNAcentral. Lineage: Eukaryota; Viridiplantae; Streptophyta; Magnoliopsida; Apiales; Apiaceae.